UGUAAGCGUAUACCAAAGUUGUUGCAGUUAAAACGCUCGUAGUCGGAAUUUGGCAGUUCCGGAUGUGUGCACGUCGUGUGCGCACUUCGCGGGGAUUGCUUUUGUGGUCUUGCGUAGGAUGAGGCACUUUUAUUAGUGAACGUCCUCACGCAACCACUUUUUACUGUGAGAAAAUCAGAGUGCUCAAAGCAGGCAUUUGUCGUGAAUGUAUUAGCAUGGAAUAAUAGAAUAGGACUUGGUUCUAUUUUGUUGGUUUGUUGGGACUGAGUAAUGAUUAAGAGGGACAGUUGGGGGCAUUUGUAUUUCGGUGCUAGAGGUGAAAUUCUUAGAUUACCGAAAGACAAACUGCUGCGAAAGCGUCUGCCAAGGAUGUUUUCAUUGA
This 382-nucleotide ribosomal RNA is filed under the name uncultured eukaryote. RNAcentral describes it as "partial 18S ribosomal RNA". It matches the Rfam family "Eukaryotic small subunit ribosomal RNA", at positions 592 to 976 of the family's 1831-position model. The record is from RNAcentral.